This 465-nucleotide ribosomal RNA is filed under the name uncultured bacterium. Its description in RNAcentral is "partial 16S ribosomal RNA". It matches the Rfam family "Bacterial small subunit ribosomal RNA", at positions 28 to 507 of the family's 1533-position model. The record is from RNAcentral.
GACGAACGCUGGCGGCGCGCCUAACACAUGCAAGUCGAACGAGCGAGAGAGAGCUUGCUUUCUCAAGCGAGUGGCGAACGGGUGAGUAACGCGUGAGGAACCUGCCUCAAAGAGGGGGACAACAGUUGGAAACGACUGCUAAUACCGCAUAAGCCCACAGGUCGGCAUCAACCAGAGGGAAAAGGAGCAAUCCGCUUUGAGAUGGCUCGCGUCCGAUUAGCUAGUUGGUGAGGUAACGGCCCACCAAGGCAACGAACGGUAGCCGGACUGAGAGGUUGAACGGCCACAUUGGGACUGAGACACGGCCCAGACUCCUACGGGAGGCAGCAGUGGGGAAUAUUGCACAAUGGGGGAAAACCUGAUGCAGCGACGCCGCGUGGAGGAAGAAGGUCUUCGGAUUGUAAACUCCUGUUGUUGAGGAAGAUAAUGACGGUACUCAACAAGGAAGUGACGGCUAACUACGUG